RNAcentral lists this ribosomal RNA (313 nucleotides) under Amaricoccus sp. HAR-UPW-R2A-40. RNAcentral's name for it is "Bacterial large subunit ribosomal RNA". It matches the Rfam family "Bacterial large subunit ribosomal RNA", at positions 1595 to 1916 of the family's 2925-position model. The record is from Rfam by way of RNAcentral. Lineage: Bacteria; Pseudomonadati; Pseudomonadota; Alphaproteobacteria; Rhodobacterales; Paracoccaceae.
CGGAUUGGUCUGGCCUCGAAGCGGUUCCUGGAAAUAGCCCUCCAUGAGAUCGUACCCUAAACCGACACAGGUGGACUGGUAGAGCAUACCAAGGCGCUUGAGAGAACUGCGUUGAAGGACUCGGCAAAAAUGCCUCCGUAACUUCGGGAGAAGGAGCCCGUCUGCGGGCAACCGUGGGCGGGGGGCACAAACUAGGGGGUGGCGACUGUUUACUAAAAACACAGGUCUCUGCGAAGCCCAAAGGCGACGUAUAGGGACUGACGCCUGCCCGGUGCUGGAAGGUUAAAGGGAGGGGUGCAAGCUCCGAACUGAA